AUAGAAAUUGCGAUAACAAAAUCCUAAAUAGAAUACUAACAAUGCUCUAAUUAGACUAUAAUAAUGGUAAACAAACGUAAUCCAAUUCAAAACAACUCAAAGAAAUUUCAAACAAACAAUAAAAUUCUUAAAGAAAUAUUAGAAUGAUCACAAAUUUUACUCAAAUAUAUGUCAAUUCAACCUUAAUUUAAUUCUAGUUAAAAUCCUAUUGAAUUACACUCAACUUUAGACCAAACCUAAUUAAAUCUUAAACCCUAAUAAUUCCUAAACCCUAAGUCAAAUCCUAAACAAAUCUUAAAUUAAACCAUAUUCCAAACCCUAAACCCUAAACCAAAUCCUAAAUCAAACCCUAAACCAAACCCUAAUCCAACCCUAAAUCCUAAACCAAACCUUAAAUCAAAUCUUAACCAAACUCUAAUCCAAACCCUAAAUCAAAUCCUAAUCUAAAUCCUAAUCCAAAUCCUAAUCCAACCCUAAACUCUAAUCCAAAUCCUAAACCCUAAACCAAAUCUUAAAUCAAACUCUAAUCCAAAUCCUAAAUCAAACCCUAAACAAACUCUAAACCCUAAUCCAAAUCCUAAUCCAAACCCUAAUCCAAUCCUAAACUCUAAUCCAAAUCCUAAACCCUAAAUCAAACCUUAAAUCAAACUUUAACCAAACCCUAAUCCAAACCCUAAAUCAAACCCUAACCAAAUCCUAAUCCCUAAUCCAAAUCCUAAUCCAAAUCCUAAACCGAACCCUAGCCAAAUCCUAAU
This 755-nucleotide long non-coding RNA is filed under the name Physcomitrium patens. RNAcentral describes it as "long non-coding RNA (PPAT_LNC004699)". The record is from RNAcentral. Lineage: Eukaryota; Viridiplantae; Streptophyta; Bryopsida; Funariales; Funariaceae.